GAUGAAGAACGUAGCGAAAUGCGAUAAGUAAUGUGAAUUGCAGAAUUCAGUGAAUCAUCGAAUCUUUGAACGCACCUUGCGCUCCUUGGUAUUCCUUGGAGCAUGCCUGUUUGAGUAUCAUGAAAUUCUCAAAGUAAAUCUUUUUGUUAAUUCAAUUAGGUUCACUUUGGAUUUGGAGGUUUUUUGCAGCUUCACACCUGCUCCUCUUUGUGCAUUAGCUGGAUCUCAGUGUUAUGCUUGGUUCCACUCGGCGUGAUAAUUUAUCUAUCGCUGCGGACACUUUUUUGUUUUUUUCUAAAAAAAUAAAAUAACUAAGUGGCCAAGGGAAAUGCAGAUGAACCGCUUCCAAUAGUCCAUUAGCUUGGACAAAUAUAUUUUUAUGAUCUGAUCUCAAAUCAGGUAGGACUACCCGCUGAACUUAAGCAUAUCAAUAAGCGGAGGA
RNAcentral lists this unclassified non-coding RNA (442 nucleotides) under soil metagenome. Its description in RNAcentral is "partial contains 5.8S ribosomal RNA, internal transcribed spacer 2, and large subunit ribosomal RNA". The stretch from base 1 to 120 matches the Rfam family "5.8S ribosomal RNA", at positions 35 to 154 of the family's 154-position model. The record is from RNAcentral.